UAUUCGAAAGUGGUCACCCCGGAGUAAGCGGUAUCGAUCAGGACCUGAACAAGUAGGACGUCGAUAUAUCGCCGCGCUCCUCGAGUUUGUCGCAUAAACAUGGAAACACGACCUUAUUUACCGAAGAUGGCAAAUUUUUUAACAGCCCUUACGAUUUCGGGACUUAAAUAAACAGAAACGACGCAUUUCUCUCAAAAUAAUGGUGUUAACAAAGUAAAUUCAAUAGUGGAUUAGAGAGAAACAUCAGUAAGCUAGUGAAAGUGACUGUGGUUUUUUCGUAACCAUGAAUAAUAAAGAUGACGAGUGAACGACGUGAGCAGCGCACCUGCAUCAAAAUGAGCAACGCAUUGAACUCGCUCGGCUACGGCGAAGCGUGCGGCGCGCGAUGGACGCUGGGCGCGCUAUUGCUGGCACCGCUGGCAGCCGCUAACUCCAGCUACUGUGCCGUACCCGCCGUGUUGCUGCUAGCUGCUUUCAUCACUGUUGCCACUUUUACAUGCAAGGACCUGAAGAAGCUGGCUGAAAUACUACCACCGCCGAAAACGUCUAGAGGCCGACGCGAGCGCAACCUGCGCUCUUUCGCCGACUUCAUGGCGAUGUGGAUGACGUUUCUGUCUCAUCUGGUGGCCGUGGCUAUCUGCGCCAGGAUCCUGAGCGCCACGGCUGACCACGUGACCGCCGGUCGAACCAGGCGAUGGCUGUUUGGGUACGAGACUAGAGCCCUGGGAGAACCCUGGCCUGAUGUAUUGGGGGUCACCGUCGUGAUGGUGGUUUGCGCUAUGUUCAUGUGUGGACUGGAGGAAAGUAUGAUGUUCACGUUUAUGUUGCUGAUUCUUCUGUACAUAUUUAGUCAAUUCUUUGCCAUUGUCGGCCUUAUGAAUUUGGAUAUUGCGAAUAUUAAUAUUCCUAUACCUAUCACAAUUAAUGAGAUGUUUGCUGCUGGUGCGCCAAUAUCUUACGCUUUUAGUGUAGUUUUACCUCCUAAGGAAAGUGGUUCUCUGAAGAAAAACUUGAUACUUCGCAUUGGUUUGCCGACGGUCGUUCUCGCGGGUCUGUGCUUUUUGUACACCAAUAUGUUAAAAUCGCAUAGCAUUGACGCCGCGCUACCAGUCACAACGUUACUAGAAGCCAGGUCAGCUGGAUGGGUGUGCCCAGUCCUGGCUGCUGUCACAGUCGCUGGUGUCUGUCUCGCUCUCACUGAGCUCUGCCCAUUGCUGUUUACUGUGCUUGUGGCUCUGGCUUCACCAGAGUGGAAGGUGCUGACCAGGUCCAUGACAUACGAAAGCACUACCACUGGUAGUCCAGUUCUAGCUGUAUUUACAGCCGGGAGUUUGGCAGCCAUCCUGGCGUUUGCGUGUCCACUAUCGCAUAUGAUUACCCUGAUGAAUGCAAGCCACCUGCUUGGCAUCACAGUGCAGGCGUUCCACUUCAUCAUCAUGCGCUGCGUGCCCACGGCCGAGCAGAAGGAAGCUGGAGACGUGGAGUACAAACGCCUUGGCACCGAGGGUAGUUCACGAGCAAUGAAGUCAAGCAGCUCAAAACCCAAACGAGGCCUGUGGUUCAUACCAUCAGCGAUACGGCACACUAAGACAUUGGAGAGUAUCAAGCCUAAAGUGACAGCAAAAGAAACAGAAGAACGCGAGUGUCUUUUGCUUGACGAGUACUCUGGAUGUCCAACAGAAGAAAUAGACCAAGCAACCAGCUGCAGCAGUGGAAUCAGGGACUUGCCUACUGUUGAAGUGGAAGACGUAGUAUCGGACGUCGAAGCUAGCGAGGGUGAACUGUCUUCAGGAGACGACUCUACCGAUAUCGAUGCGGUAGUGAAGGAGUAUAGAGAUAGGAUUCAAGUGGUAACAGCGGUUCCCGAAGCCAGCAUGCCCACCCCGCCCAGCGUGCGGGGAGCGCGAUGGUCCGCAGUAGGGGCCGUGGUCCAAGUGCUGGCAGACGCCUUCAUAGCGACUGCCUUCUGCAAUGAGGCCAUCAGGGUGCCUAUGUUUGCGACUGGCAUACCUUUAUGGCUAUGUGGGACCUUCAUAAGCGCGUGGCAGCCAGCUCACAACCUGGGCUUGAGGAAAACUCAAAGCAUUCAGGGGCCUGUGGCAAUGCUGAUCGCGCUGCUGUUCCUUACGCCACUCCUGCUCGACUCCUGGCCGGCCAUCACGCUUUUUGCUGGAGCUGGUGUGGUGAUAUAUGCCCGCUGCGAACGCUGGUGCGGCGACCUGGCAGUGCGGCAGGCCCGUAGCGCCCUGGAGCGCCGCAAGCUGUCGCCUGUCACCGCCGCCGUGCCGCUCACCGGCGCUCGGCUCGCGCACAUCGAUACUGUCUACAUAGCCAGCUUCAUUCCUGGUUCAAAGACAGUUUAGCUUUCCCUGAGACACAAGGGCUACAUUGACCGGGUCCAAACCGACAUCAUGGCAGAAAUUUCGUCAGAUGACAUGAGGAUGACUCGGAUUCGAGUCUGGACAAUCUAAUUGAUGCCGACGACGAAGAGGCGUACGAUGACGAAUGACACGGGACCCAGGCCAUCGUGAUCAUCGCGUAAGGGAUCAUUUGUGAAAGAAAGACUACGUGCUGUAGUGAUGUGAUUGAUUGGAUUGUUUUAAGUUAUGUAGAGUCAAUAAUAUAAUGGUUUGUGGUAUGAAAUGACACUGAAAUAUGGACUCAAGUCUUGUGAUUGAGAACGGUUAAAUUGAACCAAUCACAGAUUUGAAUCUAUGCUUGAUUUUGAUAAAGUUUUAAGCUAAAUUCAGAAUAUCAUUUACGUAAUGGACAAUGUAGGAAAGCAAUUGCGUGAAAAUAAUUCUAAUGAUAGAGUAGUGGUAUGUGAACAAAACCUGAUAGUCGAAUGUGUGUUUCGAAUCAGUAUGCAAAAUGCAUUUAAGUGCUAGAUUGUGCACUAAAACAAAAUUCUAAUACCAAUAAUAAUUCAACAUGAUUCAGAUGAAACAAUCAGUCAGUAAUGGUUUUUCGUUUUGCUCAAUAGUACCUACAUAGGUGUAAAUUGAUCUAUAUUCAAUUGAUGUUCGUAGUAAAUAACCUAAAUAUAAGGAAAAGUGGUGAUCUUGUGAUAAUAUCCAUUAGUGAGAGGCAGAUGUAAUGUAGAAACUUAGUGGGUAAGCCUUGUUUUACUGCUGUUGGAUAUUUCGUAAUAACUAAUAUUAUAGUUAAUAUCUAACAGAGGUUAAACAGUUUUUAACUUUGCUAGCUUGGUGCCACCCAAACGUUUUGAAUUUAAAUGUUUUUGGUUGUAGUGAAUGUGAUACAUUAAAUAAAUAUUUUAAGGUAUCCGUCCAUCCGCCAUACGCGAUAUAUGAGCACCGCUUACGUGCUUUACAUUUUAACAACUUAUUACGUAUUUUUAUCAAGUCGCCUUAAUAGAAAACUUUGCUAGUUAAUAAGUAGGUCCUUUAAUCAGUCUAUUUUGGUAAUAUAAAGAACGGAAUUAUUCAAAGUCGGCCUAAUAAUUAAAGAAAUU
Molecule: RNA transcript, 3475 nt
Organism: Ostrinia furnacalis (Asian corn borer)
Lineage: Eukaryota; Metazoa; Arthropoda; Insecta; Lepidoptera; Crambidae
Gene: tadr
Gene name: torn and diminished rhabdomeres
Exons: 14
Source: RefSeq, a predicted model, not a curated record